CAUAUAUACAUAUAUCCUUAAGCCCAUGACUUGUGCAUACUUAUAUUGAGCUAUUUAUCAUUUAAAUUUAUAUUUUUGUACUUUGUUACAUGUUAUCCUGUGUUUCUUAAUAUGAAUAACAAGGAUAUGUAAAUAGAAAGUACUAGGCUUAAAGGGCUUUAGUAUUGUUUGAAAUCAAAAUGAAAUACUUAAAUUUGCUAGAUCUGGAGUGCAGGCUUGUGAUGCUUCAGAGUCAGAAACUAAUAACAAGGGAACUUGACAAUAGAUGGUUUUUCCAAUAUUCAAUUGUCAUUUAGGCUAGUUUGAGAGAAACCAUAUGUGACUAGGACUAUAAAGGAAUUGAGAUUCUGUGAAGCUCAGAAUGAAGAUGGGAAUGUAGAAGACGAAGCUGUAAAUCUCGGAAAUAGUUGGCUGUAACUCCAAGAAACAGUUGAUAGUGCUUCUCAAAUGUUCAUUAAAAAUUUAAAAUAGUCUUAAUAAUUUAGCUUCUUUGAUCAAUGAGAAAUUUUAGUGGUCUGAGGAUUUUCCAACUUAGUUAUAUCCAGAACAGUGGAGAAUAUAUUGUUUAGUACUUUUUUGCAAGAUAAAUCCGAAAACAACCCCACAAGUGUAUCUAUUUUAGUUUAUGAUAAACUCAUAAGUUUUAGCAAUGUUGUAUAAGACAGUCACCAUAUACAAGCAGUUAAUGUAUUAUUUAGGGCAUAUGUUUAUGAUAUAUUUCAUUCAAAUGGAGCUGCAACAAAGAAGGUUAAGAUUCUUUUUUUUUAAGCAGCAAUAAACAAGCAUAUAUUAUUGUGAGCAUUCACUGUGUUUACUCUGUAGAUCGUCCUGUACUAAUUAACCCAUACUUUUCUAAUGUUGACUUCAUGUCAUCUGCCAAUGGCUGCUUUUCUUUCUUAUAAAUUGGUAUUUUUUUAGGGUGGGAGUUUUUAAACAAGUAGAACACUCUUGAAGCAGCCUUACUGUAACUCACAACAAAAUAAGAAUUGAUUAUAUGAUAAGCAAAGACAUUUAUCAAACUAUUUAAAUAGAAAAACUGAAUGACAACUAUAGAACUAUUUUUUUUCACUUCUAAGAGCUGGACCAACAGCUUGUUGCUGUAAGUAUUACUUACCAGUGUAAGUUAGCUUGUUGCUCCAGCAUACCUCUAUGAUGUGAUGUCAAAAUUUUUGCAUACCUCUCAGCUUCAAGUAUUCAACCAAUUUUUGCAUUGGUAAUCAGCUCUCAAUGUAAAUUCUUCUGUGUAUAAUGUCAAAAUGAUGCUUUCCUAACCUUGAUUGGUAACAUAUAUGUAUCUUCUUUCAACUAUAGUAUAUUUUUUUUGUCAUUAAUGGCUUAAAUUGCUAAUCGUUGUACCCCUGUUUAUCUAGUUAGAUUAAUUUUCAUAUAGAAGUUUCUUUUGCUGAGUGGUGUUUCAUCUUUCUUCCAUUUUUCUUUUGCUGGUGUUUCAACUUUCUUCAACUCUUGUGGAUAAUUUUUCUGUUUCAUUCUCUUGAAGUUUCUUUUAUGUUUGACUAAACGUUUGUGUUCCAUGGUUCUAGUGUUGGCUAAUCCUUUUUUAUUGGUAUCAUCUAGCAUGAGCUUCAAUUUUCAGUGAGUUAAUGCAAACUAAGUUUUUCAAUUAAUAUCCUAAAAGAUAUUGUUCAAAUAAAUUGGCUUCACAUGAAAUCCUAUUGUGUUAAGUAGAGUUUUUACAUAUAUAUUUCUGAUUAGAUGGAUGCACCAAAACUUUAAUUAGUCUUGUUACCAAAGUUCGUAAUUUUGUAUCGUACUAUUGUUUCGAGCUUUGCUCGGUACGAUACGGUGCAAGCGUACUGAGCGGUACGUUAGGGUGUACCACUCGGUACGUGUUUAUAUAUAUAUAUAUAUAUAUAUUAUAAAAAGGAAGUGUACAUUGUCUCAGCAACGUUGCCUCCUUUUCUUCUCCUCGUUGCAUCAGAUGAGGAGAAGAUCGGUCUUCUCCUCAUCUUUGACUUUCAGCGAAGGCGACGAAGGCCGUAGGGGUCUUCGACCUUCGACAAAGAAGAAGCCGAGCCGUCGUCUCUCUGUUACCUUCUAGAUCAAGAUCAUCGAGGGAGGGCGGCGGUUGAUCGAAAAGCGUCAAGGUUCUCCUGAUUCUCCCUCGAUGCUUCUUCUUCCCUCGUCGCAGCCAGGUUGAUAUUGCCCGGUAACGGGUGGUCCACAUACCGGUCUGCUGACGGAUCGAUACGUACUGUCUUAUAUGUACCACUCGGUAUAGGUGGUAUCAUUCGAAAUUAAAAUCCUUGCUUGUUACUAUCAUAUUUUAUUGAUCAAUAUAAGGCCAGCGACAAUGUUCCUAUUUUUUAUUUUCAUUUUUGUUUCUUGCAAACACCAUCAUAAGUUUUGUUUGAUGUAUUUAUAUAUAUGGUGUAUUGUAGUUUUUCCUGCUAUUUCAAGAAGAAAGGUUUAAGAUUCUUUUCCUUGUUUCUCCCAGGACAUUCCUCCAAGAAACCUAAAUUUUCCAAUCAAUCCACCUACUCUUCUUUUGCUUUAAUAUUAGCUUUUGAAGGUAAUUAGUCAAUAAGGUGGAUGAUCAUCUACAAGCUGCAGAUUUGCUACUGCUAUGUGCAUUUUGGUCAUUUACCUCCCAAUUUAUCCACCUAGAUCUCAUUUUCCCAGUCAUUGACUGAUACUUAUUUCAUUCUUUAAAUGUGUACCUACCCCUACUGUCAUUCUUUAGUUGGCAAUGCCUCUCUUUUCUAGAGUUGGUUAAACCGAAGCUUGGUCUUCUCCUUGUGAUGUUGCUGCCUCCAUGGUUGGGAAGAUCAUUAUGAUAAAAUAUAUCCUUGAUCAUAGUAUUAUAAGUUGGCAUUGUGGAACUUGUAUCAUCUUGUAUGUUCCAAGUCUCCUCAAGUUGCUCACUUUCAUCAAAUUGUGGAACUUGUAUCAAAUUGUUCACUUUCUUCAAAGAUGUAUAGUUCCUCUAAACUCCACCUGCAGUCUCAUCUUAGUCCUUUGGAAUACAGUGUUAUCUUUGUGCUUGCUUCACUUUGAAUUCUAUAUUUCACCAUGUUGGUUUUCAUGACUUGUUUUAUACUGUUUUUUAUUCAUGACUUUUGCAUGAGGUUCUUGCUCAAGUGGAGGGUUCAUGCAUUAAAACUUGCUCCUAACUUUUGACUAGAGGCCAGCUUAGACUUAUGGGCAUGUGAUGGUUGACACUUCCCUAGACUUAUUCAUGUUCAAACCUUCCCGGCUCACAAAUUAUUAUCUUAUGACAGUAGGUAACAUUUUGCAUCAAGGUUCAAAUUUCUACAUGCUCCAAAAUUUGAUUUGCAGCAAAUACGGUAUAUAUAUAUAUAUAUAUAUAUAUAUAUAUAUAUAUAUAUAUANNNNNNNNNNNNNNNNNNNNAGUACUAUAUAUAUAUAUAUAUAUAUAUAUAUAUAUAUAUAUAUAUCAGAACAUGAUGAAUGUCGUCGGUCCUUGUAUUAUUAUUUUUCCCUUACCGAGAAGAUAAAAAGUGCACGUUGCUAACGUGUCGAUGUCGGGGUAAUCCAAGCCACAAAAGAUCUGGCGAUUCGGUCGCUCAACCCAUCACCGUCCACCACGUGUACUAUCCGAUUGGUCAGACACGUCGGCUCCCGAAUCUUCGAGAACGAGAACCGGAUCGAAGUUUCUCCUCCUAGUCGCCUCGCCCGAAUCAUUGCUCGCCGUUGGAUCAUGUCUCGGGUACACCGACUCCUUUCAACCCGUUGCGUUUCUUUACCUAUCUAACUGCUUUCCGCUCCCUCGGCGAUGUCCUUUUCUAUAUUUAUAUAUGUAUUACUGUUUCUCAAUCGAAACUUCUGGAAAGUUUCAAUAUCUUCCCGCAGCUUUUCGCGAGAUGGCUCCUGCGGCGGAGCCGGCCGAGGAACGGGCGGCGGAUGGGCAGCAGCGGGCGCUGCCGACGCCGUUCCUGACGAAGACGUACCAGCUGGUGGACGACCCCGAGAUGGACGACGUGAUCUCGUGGAACGAGGACGGGUCGACGUUCGUCGUCUGGCGGCCGGCGGAGUUCGCACGCGACCUCCUCCCAAAACACUUCAAGCACAACAAUUUCUCCAGCUUCGUUCGCCAACUCAACACCUACGUAUGCCUAAUCUUCGACCGUGUCCUUUUAUUCUUAUUAUUGAUGUGUUUUUGAGUAUUUUGGGGACUUUCGAUAGGGAUUUCGGAAGAUCGUGCCGGAUCGAUGGGAGUUCGCCAACGAUUACUUCAGGAGAGGCGAAAAGCGCCUCCUCCGCGAGAUCCACCGCAGGAAGGCCGUUACGGUGGCGCCACAGCCGGCCCCUGCCGCCGCGGCGAGCAGGAUGACGGCGCUGGUAAGCCGAGCCAGAUCGCCGACGAACUCGGGGGAGGAGCAGGUGCUGUCGUCCGACUCCUCUUCCGGGCCGUUUCCCACGGUGGCCGUGGGUCCCUGUGGCGUCGCGGAGCUGGGGGAGGAGAACGAGCGGUUGAGGAAGGAGAACGAGCGGCUCGCCCGGGAGGUGGCGCAGAUGAAGAGCCUGUGCGGCCAGAUCGCGUCGCUGAUAUCGAGGCACGUGUCGGACCGGCAGGAAGGUGGCGGAGGUGCUGAGGCGGCUCCGUUCCUGGAGCUGAUGCCGGCGAGACCUGGGGCGGAGGAGGCGUUCUACAACGAGGUCGAAGAGGAGGAGGACGUGAAGCCGGAGGAUGCCACGUCCGAGGAGGUGCCUCCCUCCCCGCCGGGAGCGAGUCCGAGGCUCUUCGGGGUGUCGAUCGGCGUGAAGCGGCCUCGGUCGGAGGACGGCGAUGGCCCGCCGCCGAUGUUGAAGCCGGGGCCAACGGAAUCGGCGGGGCUGGACCCUAACGAGGUUUAUCCAGAGCGCCGCCCCCAGCAUCCGCGGGUGAUCGACUGCCCCGAGCCGACGCGGAGGGCGUGUAACGUACCAGACUGGGCCGAUCGCGGCGGCGAAGAGCGCGACGACGAGGCGCGCACGUGACGCGAGCGGGCCAUCACGUGUUCCGAUGUUACACGGAAGCUAAUGAAUUAAUUUAGAAUAUAUUGUAGGUAUUUAAUUUAUAAUAUAAUAUUGUUUACUUUAGGGCUCUCUGUUGUUGUUGGAAACGUCUCCUCCCUUCUUUACUUUUAUACGUUUCUUUUGGAUUAUUAAUCGGCCGCCGUUUGGAUUAUUGCUGUUGUUAUUGUUUCUAAGGUGGGCGCGGAUCGAUCCGUGUGGGCGAGGCUUCAACGCCGGUACGCGUUAUGCUCGGCUUUUCCAACCUGUAAGAAGUCUUCUGUACCGAGUCAGAGCCUUGAGCGUCUUUCGAUUCCCAAGCAGCGGGCGAUCGAGUCAGUGUAAGAAUCUCUCUUUGCAUCGCCUUCAUUUAUGUGACAUGUAUGCUUCAGAAUUUUCUACGGCUAUUUUAGGGUCAAAAUCUUUGGCAAAACGUUGCUUAGAACUGUAGGAAUUAGGUAUGAUCCCAACAAAAGAUAAAACUAGAAAAUUUAUUUAUAAUUGAUAUAGAAAAUAUCGAUGAUGAGUGGAUCAAUUCAACUUGUCAUAUUUGUAUGCCAUGCCAUAUUUCAAUGCCCAUGUCAUAUUUCAAUUCCCCCAUAUUACACUCAUCUAAAGGUAGAGACAAAAAGACGUGCGCUAUCCUUGUCAUCAACUUUUUCUUGCUGGCAUCAUACACGCUCAUAAGAUUCAUUCUUUCGAAUCAAAUGCUUUUUCGUGUAGUCGUCGUACAAAAAUAGACCAUGUUUUUAUUGUUGGUGGAAGUUUCAUAGCUCGUAUGAUGAUUCUUUUCUACGACCACAUCAUCUUUUUUGUUCAUCGACUUGGCAUGCAAACUACCAAUCUCUCGCUAGGCAACUGUCCUCUGGUUUCUAUUAUUAGGGAAGGAGUUAAGUGUGGUUGGAUAGAAUCAUAAGUCCGUCUGUUGACCGGUGACUCGAUUAUUCUAUAUUGGACGUAAAAUUAAUGACAAGGCACAGAAUUUUGGGAAAGACUAGGUCAAAAAAUUUGACUCGCCUAUCCAAUCUCCACAAGAAAUCAAACCUGGUUACACGGAAUCCACGUAGGAAAUCGCCGCAAGGCUUCGUUCCCACUUCGUCCUACCUUCCCACGCGCUGCGUAUAUAGCGGCACCAACGCCACGAACCCCAUACGAGCAGCAAUGGAGAGGACCGCGACCACCGUAGAGAUCACCAUCAUCUCGGCCGAGGAGCUUCGCCGCGGCCGCCGUCCGCUAGACAAGGGCGCCUUCGUGGCCGUCCGUUCCGGCUCCGACACGCACGGCCAAGUCGCCACCGGCGUCGACCGGGACGGCGGAGGCUACCCCUGUUGGAACGAGAAGCUCACGAUGACGUUGCCGCCGUCGGCACGGUCACUGUCGCUGGGGGUCUACUGCAGGAGCAAGAUGGGCGCUGGGGCCGCGUGCGCGGUGGCCGCGGCGGAGGUUCCGGUGUCGGACUUCCUGUGGCUGGAGGACUACCUGCACUUGCUCAGUUACAAGCUGAGGGACAGCAACGGUGUGGGCAAUGGGAUCAUCAACUUCUCCGUUAGGGUUAUCGGCGGCGAGGGGAAACGUGGUGCGUGCCAUUGGGGGUAGACGGUGGUGUGGCUGUUGGAUAUCCCGUAGGUUAUUACAAGUUAGAUUAUGAUUAUUUUUCUUUGGUUUACAUGCACAUAAUCAAAUUCUAAAAACAAAUAAAUUAUUAUGGUUGAUCUUUGUUUUGCGAAUGAAGUAAUUAAUUCUUUACUUCGGGUAUCAUUUUAUUCUAUUUGAUGUUAAUUUUAGGACUAAUUAUAGAUUAUUCUACUUAUCUAUAACCUUUCGAUCUUCAUAAUUAUUUUGGGAAGUUUGAGUGUACCAAAAUGACAGUAAAACCUACUAUCUGGGUUGAGUAUUACUGUCGGCGCAUAAAUAAUAUAUUUUGACUUACGUAUGUGUUGGGGUAAACAACUUUAAGCCGUGGCCUCGGGGUUGACACGGCUUGGUUCGGGUCUGGAUGAUGGGGGUUCUUCCCGGGGCGGCCCUCGAGACCGCUGAGGUGGCCGAUUGCGAUGGUCCAAUCGAGACGGGGUUGAUGUUUCCUCCGGGAGGGAACUCCUCGCUCGUGCGUUUAGUGGGAGGCCUCCGUCUUCGCACCUGCACAUAGGUCGGGUCGGGGGAGCUCAGCCCGACCCCUCCGACGAUCAAGUUAGUGAAUAGUCGUAGGGGAUUUUUUAUCUAUUGUAUUCUCCCUCCUUUUCCUCGAAGCGCGAGGGUUUUUAUAAUGAGGGUUACCGUUGCCUGAUGCGCUUGCCCGUGGGGAGCAGGAUCGUACUUCUGGUAGCGUCUGACAUCGAUGUUGGCGUGGCGUGAGGGGAUCGAGCUUGAGCAGGGUGUUAAUGUGCCUUGGUCGGCGUUUCGAUCCGCGUUGACCAGGCGCUGACAGGUCAACAGAGGCAUGAGGCGUCAUCUGGGGCAGCUGACGUCACCCGAGUCUUAUCGCCAUUAUUACCCUCAUCAGUAUGUUUUCCACUGUAGAUCAGCACUCCAACAUCCUAUACAAAGUAAGCUAAAUAAAACUAAUCAACAUAUUUAGACAAGUAUGAACUAUACAGUUUGAAAUGCAACCUAUAUGGCAAAAUCUUAGUUUAGGUGUACUUUAAUGAUGUAGAAUACCAGCGAAUGUGAGAAUUUUCAAGUUUCAGCAGCUUUUUGGGAAACCUUCAUGUAUACACAGAACCUUUUUUGUGCACUGGCUAGAAAUUCUCGAGUCCGAUGCUUGAAUGGGAUUAAUCAUUAAUACUGCCGUUAGUAUAGGAGGCUUUCCUGGUUCGUCAUUGUUUCUAGAGUUCUUUGUAUCAACAGUUCAUAGAGACACUUCUCAAAAUUCUUUUGUUGUUAUGAGAUUUUAAAUCAUACCAAUAGACUCCAAGGGUUGAAGCAUUGUUUUCUGGAGUCAGUUGUUCAUGUUUUGUAAUUCUUGACUUUUUAAGUUGUUUCAUGUUUCCGGCAAUUAAAGUUUUAACAGGAAAUCCUGAUUUGCUUUAGAGCGAUUUUGAUAUGUUCUCGAUUUCUAUAGAAUUAGUAUAAAAAAAAGAAAAAGGUCACAUCCCUACUAACUCGAGUUAAUAAGAUAAUCUCCUUCUGGAUUACUAUUUCGUGAGGAUGACUACCAUCAAGGUUGUUGACAUCGUGAAAGACGACAUCAUCUUAUUGAGAGAAUAUCUCAAUUUAUCCCUGAGAUGACAUCGAGAGUCGAUCGCAUAUGACUCGGUCCACAUCGGCUCCUCGGUGACCGCAAGUUGGCGUGAGAAUAUUUUCUAUCAUUCGUCCCCCUGAAGGCGUAUAUCGGGACCUCGUAAAGGGUUCGAGACACAUCAUCAAGUGUUCAUAUUAGUCUUGGGCCCUCUUUUUCAGCUACACUUGCGGUGCCCUUCGGGACACAAUUUUCCUCUAACCUCGUCAUGACUGUUAAGAUCGUAAAAGGCACGGCGAGGGGGGGUGUGGGCUGUUAGGUCUAAUCAGAUGUCUAAGAACGUUCUGAUGAUGUUUCACCUUAUAGAUCCACUAAUGAAAUCAUUGUCUCAUAUUGUGUUUGAGUAUUAUAGGAGUCUAAAGAGGACUAGAUACGUAGGUGAUUGAUUUUAGAUCGAGUGAGAGAUUACUAAUUAUAUAUACUUUACAAGUCAAUCACGUGAGUGAUAGCACGUGCGACACAAUAUGCAUUCUUUUUUACUUAUUAUUUAUUUGAUAAUUUUCUCACUUUAUAUUGCUUGUUACAUAUAUUAUAAUGUCUUUGGAUUUAUACAAAAAUCAUUCUAAAUUCUAAAUGAUAAAUCAAUCCAUCCAACAACUUAAUAAAUAACUAAUUCGAGGGAUAUUAAAAAAAAAAUAGAGGGUUACGAAUUGAAAUCACGACAGUCUAGAAUCGAUUCCAUUGUGAUUUCAAAUUCCAUACAAUCAGGAUCGUCGAUUCUGAAACUAAAUUCGUCGGUUCUGAUAUUGAGAUCAGAAUUAUAGAUAAUCAAAUACUCAAACUGAUUUGGAAACGCGUUGGAUAUUGACCGCUCUCACUGUAGGUGGAAACGACGCAUGAUGAGAUCAGAUGGGAGGCUUUUACCGAGAAACUUUUGUCCACAAUAUCGCACAAGGAAUUGAAGUUGGAUUACGCACACGACAUGACUAUGUUCGGCGUUGAGAAGACUGCAAUAGAGGGAAUCAAUUACGAUGGUCGUGCAAUUAUAUAUAUAUAUAUAUACUAGAGUAUUUUUCUAAUUAAUAACAAUGAUAGAUGAUACUGACCUUCAAACCCCUCCUUUUUCUUUUUGGUUUGGAUCCAAUCAUGGAGCCAUGCCAUCCGACCAAUUCAUUCGUUCGUUCCAUGUCAAAUCAAAUGAGUCACAGGAGUGGUAAUUAGUACUUCCCCGACGUCAAUGAUUGAUGAUAGUAAAGUCCUUAAAAAUAUUAAUUAUUUUAUAGUAAGAUCUUUAAAGGAUAAACUCUUAAAAAAAUAAAUCCUAUAUUUUCAGUUUUCCUCUUGGAACACUUUUUUUUAUUUUUAUAAAAUAUUUUUUUAUUUUCUAAAAAAUAAGAUUAUCAUUUGCCUUCAUCCCAUCGAUUAUCGUCUUCAACUCUCGUUUAUUGAUGUUGUUGUACAUUUGUCGAUUGUCUCCACUUUUACCCUCGCUCUCUCAUGCCUCUUCUCAUCGUCCAUUCGUGAUUCCCAUCGUCUCUCUUUAGCCUAAACUAUCAUGUCCUCCCACGAUGAGAAGGACUUCCUCCUCUUGUGUCUUUCUCACUCUCGUUUCCUUCGUUCCCUUGUUUUCUCCGUCACAAUUUGUCACCUCUACGCCAACAUUGACAUCAUUUGCUCACUCUCUCAUCUACUUCUACUUACAAUAGUGAUAACGAGACGGAGGCAAGAACUUAGAAUGCUUUGACAACAAUGAACGAGAUAGUAAUCAGGGAACAAUGGCGAGAGUGACAAAAUUGAAGUCGAAGGCUACGACAAAAGGUGAAAGAUGCCACGAAAAGGCCACCGGAUAAAAAAAAAAAAAAAGAGACAUCUCGUGAGGAAAAAUAAAAAUUAAAUAUUUUUUUAAAGACUUUACCCAUCUUUAAAUUGAAUAUUGUUUUCACCUAAAUAAAGUUUCUCUAACGUUUUUUUCCACCAUCAAGAAUGCCUUUCACCCGGGACCCAUAACUCGAACGUAAUGUGGUCAAAAACCAGAUGAUAUCUCGUAUCAAGGUAAAAUAAUUCCAUAUCUUCAAAGCCAAUAAGUCCCUUAACGUGAUAUUUGCUCACAUCUUUGCGUAAUGAUGCAUAAAUAUGGGAUGCAAUAAUAGUAGUGAUAGCAAGUACUUGCAAUAAUGUGGUGAAGGGACCCUACGAAGCUGUCGAAGCGGCAGCAAACAAUAAUGUCUUUCUCUAAAUGCAUGCAUUCCUCGAGGGUGUGGGUCCACAUUUUACCUCACCAAUCAACGCAGAGGUGGCAAAGCCAGACAGGUCACAUGGUCGGUCAUUGUACCCACUGAGGUCAACCCAUUGACUCGCACCCGAUCUGCUGAGUCGUACGACCCAGAGAAGAGUUUAUCUCUCAAUGUUGAUUGGUCAUCCCCGGAGGCCUCCCACCAUAGAAGCCAGUGAGCACUCGCCGAAGAUACGCAGACGACGUGCUCGCGAGGGGCCAGUCCACGAGACAUCGGAGUGGCCUCUAAACGAUCAUGUCUGCAGUAGAACACACCACUUGGGUCUUCCACCAAAUCAUAGCCAAUGAUGUUCCACCUCUCUGAAAAGUCGUCACUGAAGCAAUGAGGCAGGCCGUAAUUAAUCUUUUAGGAUGACACAACAGCUGAAAGAACAUAAGGAGAAACAUACCUGGUUUGAUCUGGAUCAUAUGCAUAUGACAUGCAUGAACAUGACAGCAAAAAGUAUCCAAAUGAAACCCGUUUUGUUCUAAGCAGCUGAAAUUUACCUGCUUUCAUUUAAACUAGCAGCCAGAAGGAAGCAGAAGCACAAGAUAUCUGAGAUCCUGCAAUCUGUAUUCAUACUACACCAGUUAGAACCUACAGAGACAGCAAGACUGAAUCAAAAAAGAGAUGAUCACCCAAAAUGCAAGGCUUGUUAAAGAGCUGAUGGACCAGGUCAAGACGAUCAGCAAUCCUUCAACAAAGGAAGCAACUUGUAGCCUUUUCUGCGUUAGGCUAGCCGUCCCCAUCGAGGCCUGCCUGCAGCCGUCCCUCACAAUGACCACCUUUGUUCACUUGUGCCGGUAAUCUUACAUCGGUUAGCAUCUGCAAUCUAAUAUCUGGACCUGACCAACUUGCACAUCUUUAUUUAAUGAGAGUGCAAAGAACACGGUUACAUAUGGCAGCAAGCAGCUUCUCUCUCCCAAGACUGAGAUGGUCCAUGCAGGCAUCUAUAAUUCCAUGGACAGAGGUGGACCAUAGCCAAAAGUUCAAAAGAGCCAGUCAUACCUGUGUAUGAUUACCGUCUGGAAGUCAAGGUACCCAAAAUUGUUGAUUAAUUGAGCAGUUGGGGUGUUAAAAAGGGCAUGAGAGCCUCAUGAGAUGUCAGAGUCCAAGGCCUGUGGCAAGAAAGCUGUGUCUUCUUCGGGACUCCGAUCAUAUCCAUGGCAGUCUCUUCCCUCCCACCGACGAAACGU
This 11618-nucleotide long non-coding RNA is filed under the name Musa acuminata (dwarf banana). RNAcentral describes it as "long non-coding RNA (MACU_LNC004945)". Lineage: Eukaryota; Viridiplantae; Streptophyta; Magnoliopsida; Zingiberales; Musaceae. The record is from RNAcentral.